UUUAUUUUUAACUUUGACGGAAAAAUAAAUUUAACGUGUUAUUUAUAUAGAUGUGAAUGCCUUAGGUGAUGGUACUAUUGGCCAGAUCGAUGGUACUAUUGGCCAGAUCGACAAGCCUCAACCAAAGAAAGGGUAUCCAUACAAACCUUAUCCAAAGAAAGGGUAUCCAUACAAACCUUAUCCAAAGAAAGGGUAUCCAUACAAACCUUAUCCACGGAAGAAAAAGCCACCACCCAAGAAGAAGAAGCCACCGACGUAAAAGCCUUGUUAUCAAUACAAGUCCCAUGCUUAUGAAACAAGUAGUUCUUGAAAAUGGAUUUCUGUACGUGUGGACAAUAAAUGUUCUCGAU
This 350-nucleotide long non-coding RNA is filed under the name Jatropha curcas. Its description in RNAcentral is "long non-coding RNA (JCUR_LNC003019)". Lineage: Eukaryota; Viridiplantae; Streptophyta; Magnoliopsida; Malpighiales; Euphorbiaceae. The record is from RNAcentral.